Molecule: long non-coding RNA, 2112 nt
Filed under: Capsicum annuum
Lineage: Eukaryota; Viridiplantae; Streptophyta; Magnoliopsida; Solanales; Solanaceae
Description: long non-coding RNA (CANN_LNC007463)
Source: RNAcentral
CAUUAUUUCCUUCAAUGGAACAUUAAUUUUUCUCAGCUAGAUACGCCUCUCUACUUCCCAUCAGUUACAUGCUUUAAACCAAGCACUCUAUUUUCCACCUGUUCAUACUAUAAAAAGCCUCACUUCUCCAUCAGUUUUGAGAAGUUUUCCAUUAGAAUAUAUCUCUAUUUUUCCUCUCAAUCACAACUCCUAAGAAACACAAAUUGGUGAGAAUCACGUUGGAAUUUUUUCUUCCAAUCUCAAAGUUCUUUCAACGUUUAAGAGGUAUGUAGGACCAUUCCUUACUCUCGUUUCUGGACGUUGUACUGUUAUCCAAUUCCAAUUGCUCUAAAACUAUUGAAUGGUUUAAUAGUUGUUGGAUGUGUAAAGAUAACUCUCUGUUUCAUGUUCUUCCUUUCUGAAUUUUGUGAGUUCCAAUGACCCUCGUGAUUGAUGUACGAACAUAGAUGAUUUUGGCAAUAACUGUGAAAGAUUUAUGAUCUGCAAAGUCAAGCAAUUACACCUAGAGUGCACCCCAUUAUUUAAAAGAAGUGAGAGAGAACUAAUUACAUAAUUUGUUGAUCAAAGAUGACCUCUCCUAGUUAUUUUUGAAUUUCCAAACAUAUCUACUCUUUCUUUGACUUCAUUGCGAGAUUAUAUAUCCUUCUAUAACGUGUUUUCUGUACACGGUUCACUUUCCAGCAGUCCUGAUACACCAGUGUCGCAGCCUUGUAGCUGCAAUAUGCUUCAUUACAUUCUUUUUGAACUGCAUAGUUACAAAACAACAACCAGCACAGACUACUCGUUCUUCCGCUGCAACGUUCAGACAACAACAAAAAAAAAGAACAUACUGUUACAUCGCUAAUUCAAAUAUAUCCUACUCUAUUAUUAAGUAAAUAUAUUACACAGUAUGUAAGAGCAGCAUCCUCUUUUUUAUGAAACUCUUAAAGUAUGAUUCCAAUUCCAUAAUCCAUAAGAAACUCACCUUCUUGCAGCAUUGCUAAAACUCUUUGUACUAUGAACUAUACAUUAUGAAACUGCAAGCCCUAGUAUAAUAAUACCAACUUCUCAGGAAUUUUUCCAUUGACGUAGUUAAUAGAUACUUAAUAAUAUUAAUAUGAAUAUUUUUCAAGAAUGCUUCCAAUCAUGUACAUGAAUUAUAUCUUAUUGAACCAUGAAAUUACAUAUCAUGACUUUUUAAUAUUGAUAGUGUUAACUCAUGAAUAUGAACCUAUUACGGUUAACUCUCAAUAUGCGCCUAAAGUGUCUGUACAUAAUUAUGAGCCUAAAAAGGUUAGACCAUGAGCAUGAGCUCUAAACUAUGAACAUGAACAUAAUAAGACUAACAUUUUGAUCAAGAACUAAUCAGAUAAAUAAGAUAACGUCAUGGGCAUAAGGGAGUUAGUUAGAUGACCGUGAAGUCAUGGGUUGAAACGACAAAUGCCCAAAACUAUGUUUAACGACAUAGGAUAAAGAUUAUUCCACAAGUAGAAUGACUCUUUUUUUUAUGUGUCCCGAAAAGGGGCUAACCAUGGAUACUUGCUAGCAAAUUAUGUCAUGUCACGUCCUAUGCUCGGCAAGGUAUAGGACGGCUUAGCUGAUCGGGCCGAGAUUAGACUCCAUGCGCUCACAUGGUGGUUUAUGACGGUUCGUUACUUUCUCCCACAAAUAAUCAAAGGAAUUAAACCUACUUUACUUGGUCAAUUAUAAAUUUAUCUUAUAUUCUUGUUCCUUUCCAAUUUUCCUCUUUUACAUUUGAAUUUUAUUGUCAUUUCUAACCUCUUGAUGUACUACCCUCCUGAAAUGAUUUUGCAUACCAAUACAUUCCACGUAUUGACCGCCUUUGAUGCUACAUCGUUUCAUGAUGUAGGUUCUGGCUCUCAUAUCCGUAGUCAGGCGCCCCAUUAGGACCUCUAUCUUCUGCUAUUGGCGAACCUCUUUCCUAUCAGGAGGUUGGAUGGGAUAUGAUAACUUCAUUAUAUUUUCUUUCCUUUUAGUAUUAAUACUUAUUAAAGGCUUUACAGACUGAUUUAGUUACCUAACAAAUCUUGUAAUUUUUAGUAUUACUUGUCAUGACUAUUAUAUCUUCAAACGUUAAGUGAUAUUGAUGAACAUUGAUGAAAGACUUUAACC